GUUAUCUAUGAUCCACUCAAAAAGCAGCCAAUCUCCUGAUCUUGAAAGCUAAACAGGGCAGGAACUCCUAAGUACCUGGAUGGGAGAUACAGUAAGUUAUUAAAUGACU
Molecule: ribosomal RNA, 109 nt
Organism: Cricetulus griseus (Chinese hamster)
Lineage: Eukaryota; Metazoa; Chordata; Mammalia; Rodentia; Cricetidae
Source: Ensembl